CUCUCUCUCUCUCUCUCUCUCUCUCUCUCUAUGCAGUGUAGGUGAGGUAAGGCAGGAGAGAGUGAGGGAGAGGGAGGAGAGAGAGAGAGUGAGAGGGGACACUGCGCCUUACACUCAUUCGACACAGAUGAAGAAGUGUUGGUAAGUGGUUUGGAGCUCCAUAGAAGAUUACGCUGCCGGAUUCGUGUCUGUGAAGUUAAUUUUUUCAUUAGUCCUUUUUGCCCUCUUCCGUUCGUGGUGGAGGGUUGGGGGCUGGUGGACGGGUGGAGGAAAGGUGGAGGUAUGUCUGUGUGGAAGGAGGUUAGUGGAGGUAUCUUGUGGAGGGAGAUAUGGAGGAAAGAAGAGGAGGAGAUGGAGGGAAAUAUGAGAAAAAUUGUCAGGUUUUGAGAUGAGACUAUCUUAGAAAACGACUAUUUUGACUAUGAUAGGAGAGUGGUAUGAUAGUCAAACUUGGAGGAUAGGUGGUGGAAAGGUGGAGGUAUGUCUGUGUGGAAGGUGGUUAGUGGAGGUAACUUGUGGAGGAGAUAUGGAGGAAAGAAGAGGAGGAGAUGGAGGAAAUAUGAGAAAAAUUGUCAGGUUUUGAUGUGACUAUCUUAGAAAACUACUAUUUUGACUAUGAUAGGAGGGUGGUAGGAUAGUCAAACUUAGAGGAUAGGUGGAGGAAAGGUGGAGGUAUGUCUGUGUGGAAGGAGGUUAGUGGAGGUAUCUUGUGGAUGGAGAUAUGGAG
Portunus trituberculatus (swimming crab) is the source of this 727-nucleotide long non-coding RNA. RefSeq lists it as uncharacterized. NCBI's taxonomy places the organism in Eukaryota, Metazoa, Arthropoda, Malacostraca, Decapoda, Portunidae. The record is from RefSeq and is a predicted model, not a curated record. The transcript has 3 exons.